RNAcentral lists this ribosomal RNA (497 nucleotides) under uncultured bacterium. RNAcentral describes it as "partial 16S ribosomal RNA". It matches the Rfam family "Bacterial small subunit ribosomal RNA", at positions 28 to 507 of the family's 1533-position model. The record is from RNAcentral.
GAUGAACGCUGGCGGCGUGCCUAAUACAUGCAAGUCGAGCGAACAGACGAGGAGCUUGCUCCUCUGACGUUCGCGGCGGACGGGUGAGUAACACGUGGAUAACCUCCCUAUAAGACUGGGAUAACUUCAGGAACCCGGAGCUAACACCGGAUAAUAUAUUGAACCGCAUGGUUCAAUAGUGAAAGACGGUUUUGCUGUCACUUAUAGAUGGAUCCGCGCCGCAUUAGCUAUUUGGUAAGGUAACGGCUUACCAAGGCAACGAUGCGUAGCCGACCUGAGAGGGGGAUCGGCCACACGGGAACUGAGACACGGUCAAGACUCCUACGGGAGGCACCAGUAGGGAAUCUUCCGCAAUGGGGGAAAGCCUGACGGAGCAACGCGGCGUGAGUGAUGAAAGUCUUCGGAUCGUAACACUCUGUUAUUAGGGAAGAACAAAUGUGGAAGUAACUAUGCACGUCUUGACGGUACCGAAUCAGAAAGCCACGGCUAACUACGUG